AGGAGCAACCUCAGUGGCGGGGCCAGCUCUGGAGCCCUGGAUUCAGCUCCUGCAGUAACUACAGAGCUCUCGGUCUGCCGGGCCCAGAUGCUCCGGGGGCGG
Molecule: microRNA precursor, 102 nt
Filed under: Canis lupus familiaris (dog)
Lineage: Eukaryota; Metazoa; Chordata; Mammalia; Carnivora; Canidae
Also listed under: 1 other name
Description: mir-8834 microRNA precursor family
Rfam family: mir-8834 microRNA precursor family
Source: Rfam by way of RNAcentral